RNAcentral lists this ribosomal RNA (497 nucleotides) under uncultured bacterium. Its description in RNAcentral is "bacterial SSU rRNA". It matches the Rfam family "Bacterial small subunit ribosomal RNA", at positions 28 to 534 of the family's 1533-position model. The record is from RNAcentral.
GACGAACGCUGGCGGCGUGCUUAACACAUGCAAGUCGAGCGGUAAGGCUCCUUCGGGAGUACACGAGCGGCGAACGGGUGAGUAACACGUGAGUAACCUGCCCCAAUCAUCGGGAUAACCAUUGGAAACGAUGGCUAAUACCGAAUACGACCACCGAAGGCAUCUUCUGGUGGUGGAAAGCUCCGGCGGAUUGGGAUGGACUCGCGGCCUAUCAGCUUGUUGGUGAGGUAAUGGCUCACCAAGGCAACGACGGGUAGCCGGCCUGAGAGGGUGACCGGCCACACUGGGACUGAGACACGGCCCAGACUCCUACGGGAGGCAGCAGUGGGGAAUAUUGGACAAUGGGCGCAAGCCUGAUCCAGCAACGCCGCGUGAGGGAUGACGGCCUCGGUUGUAACCGUACUUCUACGUAGGACGAAGCGAAAGUAGACGGUACCGUACCAGAAGAAGGAACGGCCGAACUACGUAGCCAGCAGCCGCGGUAAAAGUCAACGUCG